GGGGGACCUUCGGGCCUCUUGCCAUCGGAUGUGCCCAGAUGGGAUUAGCUUGUUGGUGGGGUAACGGCUCACCUAGGCGACGAUCCCUAGCUGGUCUGAGAGGAUGACCAGCCACACUGGAACUGAGACACGGUCCAGACUCCUACGGGAGGCAGCAGUGGGGAAUAUUGCACAAUGGGCGCAAGCCUGAUGCAGCCAUGCCGCGUGUAUGAAGAAGGCCUUCGGGUUGUAAAGUACUUUCAGCGGGGAGGAAGGGAGUAAAGUUAAUACCUUUGCUCAUUGACGUUACCCGCAGAAGAAGCACCGGCUAACUCCGUGCCAGCAGCCGCGGUAAUACGGAGGGUGCAAGCGUUAAUCGGAAUUACUGGGCGUAAAGCGCACCGCAGGCGGUUUUGUUAAGUCAGAUGUGAAAUCCCCUGGCUAA
This 424-nucleotide ribosomal RNA is filed under the name Escherichia coli. Its description in RNAcentral is "bacterial SSU rRNA". It matches the Rfam family "Bacterial small subunit ribosomal RNA", at positions 194 to 611 of the family's 1533-position model. Lineage: Bacteria; Pseudomonadati; Pseudomonadota; Gammaproteobacteria; Enterobacterales; Enterobacteriaceae. The record is from RNAcentral.